This is a long non-coding RNA of Amphimedon queenslandica, 926 nucleotides long. RefSeq lists it as uncharacterized. Lineage: Eukaryota; Metazoa; Porifera; Demospongiae; Haplosclerida; Niphatidae. The record is from RefSeq and is a predicted model, not a curated record. The transcript has 2 exons.
UUUAGGGCCAUCUCUUAAAAGCAAUCUUUAUAAAUAUUGGCAACAAUAGUUGACAAAAAAGAACAUAAGCUGCUCUCUUUAUCUCUUAAAAAACUGUCCCAAAAGUUUAAAGCAUGCUAGAGCAAAUCUGAAACAGAUCUGUUAAUUUUAGAAUAUCUUCUACUUUGAUAGGUUUUCAGUCUAUCAAUCCUUUAUCAUUGUUUAAUAAUCGUCAUAACUUCAUCACCAGAUGAAUUUUUAUGAAAGCUGUCUGAGCAACUUAUGGGUGGGGGCAUAAAUGCUAGCCAUAUCUUUAGGCAACAAAUAUGUAGGUGAGAAAAAAAACAGAACAAGUAAGACAAAGGAAAUUAAGGGUGGAAUUAUGUCUUGUACCAUACUAAGUUUUAGAGAUAUGAUGUAAUCCUUGUAUCAUGUUAUAACUUUAUGUAUGGCCAUAUUCAAUUCUUUAAACAGAUAUCUAAGUGUUUGAAAAUACACUUUAUGAUUAACUGAAUAUCUGUUAUGUUUUCUUUUGGUGUCUUUCACACUAAUCCUAAUCCUUUCUUUUAUUAUUAUUUUGUAUAUUCAUAACUUAAUUUUCUUUUGCUGUUGUUUGUUUUUAAUAAUAAUUUUCAACUCAAUACUUUUAGCAUUUAUAUAGCAUAAUGCUUUGCCAAUAAAGUUAAUGUAAUGUGAUUAGUUUUGUCUGUCUAUACAACUAAAGUAUUUUUACCGCUGUUAAUUUUUAGUACCGUAUAGCAGGAUAUUUUCGCGGAGUCUUAUUUUCGUGUUUUUUGUGUCCCAGAUACUUUCACGAAAAUUUAAGGCACGAAAAUUUAGCACAUAUUUGGUAUAGGCGUGUCCUGUUGCAGUAUAUUGCUCCACGUGCAAUAAAAUGGAGAAAAAAGCUUCCAUUGAUGAAAGUACACUUGGCUUACCCUCAAAAA